CAGCAGCCACGGGAAUACGAGGGGGGCAAGCGUUGUUCGGAAUUAUUGGGCGUAAAGGGUGCGUAGGCGGUUUGAUAAGUCUGAUGUGAAAUCUCUGGGCUCAACCCAGAGUCUGCAUCGGAAACUGUCGGGCUUGAGUAUGGGAGAGGUGAGUGGAAUUUCCGGUGUAGCGGUGAAAUGCGUAGAUAUCGGAAGGAACACCUGUGGCGAAAGCGGCUCACUGGACCAUUACUGACGCUGAUGCACGAAAGCUAGGGGAGCAAACAGGAUUAGAUACCCCAGUAGUCCCUGUCUCUUAACA
This 301-nucleotide ribosomal RNA is filed under the name uncultured bacterium. RNAcentral's name for it is "partial 16S ribosomal RNA". It matches the Rfam family "Bacterial small subunit ribosomal RNA", at positions 509 to 808 of the family's 1533-position model. The record is from RNAcentral.